This 514-nucleotide ribosomal RNA is filed under the name uncultured microorganism. RNAcentral's name for it is "bacterial SSU rRNA". It matches the Rfam family "Bacterial small subunit ribosomal RNA", at positions 9 to 514 of the family's 1533-position model. The record is from RNAcentral.
GAGUUUGAUCCUGGCUCAGGAUGAACGCUGGCGGCAGGCUUAACACAUGCAAGUCGAGGGGCAGCGAGAUCAGUGCUUGCACUGAUUGUCGGCGACCGGCGCACGGGUGCGUAACGCGUAUGCAACCUACCCAUUACAGGGGGAUAACACUGAGAAAUCGGUACUAAUACCCCAUAACAUCCAGGGAGGCAUCUUCUUGGGUUGAAAACUCCGGUGGUAAUGGAUGGGCAUGCGUUGUAUUAGUUAGUUGGUGGGGUAACGGCUCACCAAGACAACGAUACAUAGGGGGACUGAGAGGUUAACCCCCACAUUGGUACUGAGACACGGACCAAACUCCUACGGGAGGCAGCAGUGAGGAAUAUUGGUCAAUGGACGCAAGUCUGAACCAGCCAUGCCGCGUGCAGGAAGACGGCUCUAUGGGUUGUAAACUGCUUUUGUACGAGGGUAAACGCAGAUACGUGUAUCUGUCUGAAAGUAUCGUACGAAUAAGGAUCGGCUAACUCCGUGCCAGCAG